Molecule: RNA transcript, 3332 nt
Organism: Coffea arabica (coffee)
Lineage: Eukaryota; Viridiplantae; Streptophyta; Magnoliopsida; Gentianales; Rubiaceae
Gene name: DEAD-box ATP-dependent RNA helicase 20-like
Source: RefSeq, a predicted model, not a curated record
AACGGAAGAUAAAAUUUUUUUCUUUUACCUCCCAUUCCCUCUUUCAAAUACCUGCAAAUCCAAACCCUAAAUCCUGACCCUAACAAUUCUCUGUCUCAGCAAUUAAAUCAUGUUUAAUCCUUACGAUUCCAGAUAUACUGAUGCUGGCUCUUAUCGUAACCGUCGCAGUGAUAUUAUGGGGGCAGCGCCUCCAAUUGUUCCACCGCCUAUGAUGGGUAGUGGAGGUUUAGGCCCGAGUUAUGACCGUGGUGGGCCUCCUCCUCGGUAUGGUGGGCCUAUGGGGGCACCGCCACCUGUGGUGGAUGGUGGUAGAGGGGUCGGCAGUGGUGGUGGCUAUGGUGGUUUAGGAGAUAGAAGGGGUGAUUUUAGAGCUAGGGGGUUUGAUUCGGGACGUAGUGGAGGUAGGAGUGGUGGCAGUGGAAGGGGUGGUUCCGAUGCUGGGAGGGGUGGUGGAAUGGGUUUUCGAGGUGGGCAUGGGGGAGGAAGGGGUGGUUUUGAUGGAGGACGGGGUGGUGGUAGUAGUGGAAGAGGUGGUAGACAUGGUAGUAGGCCAAGAGAUGACCUAGAUAAUCUUGCUCUUCCAAAGCAAGAAUUUGGGAACUUGGUUCCUUUUGAGAAGAACUUUUAUGUUGAGAGUCCUUCAGUGAGGGCAAUGACCGAGCAAGAGGUUGCAGUUUAUCGUGCCAGACGGGAGAUGACUGUUGAUGGCCAUGAUGUUCCAAAGCCAAUAAGGAUGUUUCAUGAGGCAAACUUUCCUGAUUAUUGCCUUGAGGUGAUUGCUAGAUUAGGUUUUGUUGAGCCAACACCUAUUCAGUCUCAAGGUUGGCCCAUGGCCUUGAAAGGUAGAGAUCUUAUAGGCAUUGCUGAGACUGGUUCUGGGAAGACUUUGGCUUAUAUGUUGCCUGCUUUGGUACAUGUCAGUGCGCAGCCGCGAUUGGCACAAGGAGACGGUCCCAUUGUGCUAGUACUAGCACCUACAAGAGAAUUGGCUGUUCAGAUCCAAGAAGAAGCAAUGAAAUUUGGAUCCCGUAUAAGAAGUACUUGCAUCUAUGGUGGUGCCCCAAAAGGACCACAAAUCCGUGAUCUUAAAAGAGGAGUUGAAAUUGUUAUUGCCACUCCGGGUAGAUUGAUAGAUAUGCUGGAGGCUCAACAUACAAAUUUGAAAAGAGUAACUUACCUCGUACUAGAUGAGGCUGAUCGAAUGCUUGAUAUGGGAUUUGAGCCUCAAAUUAGGAAAAUUGUUUCACAGAUUAGACCAGAUAGACAAACUUUGUAUUGGAGUGCCACAUGGCCAAGGGAGGUAGAAGCUUUAGCAAGGCAGUUUUUGCGCAAUCCUUACAAGGUGAUCAUUGGUUCUGCAGAACUGAAAGCAAAUCAAUCUAUACGGCAGAUCAUUGAAAUAGUGACAGAUGUGGAGAAGUACACUAGGCUGAUUAGGCUGCUGAAAGAAGUGAUGGACGGAAGUCGUAUUCUUAUAUUUGUGGAGACAAAGAAAGGAUGUGAUCAAGUGACAAGACAAUUGAGAAUGGAUGGAUGGCCAGCCUUAUCCAUCCAUGGUGAUAAAAGCCAGGAUGAAAGGGACUGGGUCCUGGCUGAUUUUAAAAGUGGCAGAAAUCCUAUAAUGAUUGCCACUGAUGUUGCUGCACGUGGUCUUGGUAGGAUCACUGUGUGUUAAAACUUAGGUCUUUUAGGCUCUUAAUUUACAUGCUAGGUGAGUCUCCGGCUGCUGUCCACUUUCCUGAGAAUAUAAUUUGUGGUUUGGGUGCAAGAGGUGGUGCUACAGGGUUAGGGUUGUUAAUUGGAAUUCAGUGCUGGACUACCCGAUGCAUAUUUGUUAGCUCCAUGUCUUCGUGUGAGCACCACUAUAAGCAACUUUGCUAUCCUGUUUAAGAUUCUUUUGCCAAGAUAGACAUGGUGGCUUGGUUGGGGUGGGGUAUCAGAGGACAUUGCCCUCUUUGCUGAAGAGGAUGCAAGAAUGACAUCCAUAAUCUCUCCUCUGGUAUCACCAAAAUGUUCCUACUUAUGUUACAUGGACACUGGGCAUUACAUUUUCAAAACUUGGUUCAAGAUUAGAAUAGUUCUCAAAUAUUUUUUUUAACUUUGGUCACGCGUUAUCUUCUCAUGGGAUCAAGAGUAGAUUAUUGCUGUAAAUAUAGUUUGCAUGUUUCUAUGCACAGGUGAUUCUAAGAAUGAGUGGUAACCUCGGUAGAAACUCUUCCUUUUUUGAGCUAGUGCUGCCCAAACAGACAUGGUGAGUUGGCUACUUAACUGGGGUUAUUGUGGUGAGGAGAAAAGGAGAAUGUCCUACAAUACUCCUAGUAAUCUUCUCUUCUAGUAGUGCCAAGUUGUGGCCGUAUAUCCAGUUAGUUAUUGAUAAGAUGAUGUAUCACAGUAGGCUUGAGGGCACUCUCUUUCUGGAGGAUGUCCCAGUGCAGAACUUCUCCUGAGAUCUGGAAACCUUUUAAGUUGCUCUCCUUGCUUUGAGAAAAAAUGCUAUGGCUCCUUUUAUUGUGUCCAAGUAACAUGGUCGAAUAUAAAUAGCUGCCCAUCCACAGUUAUGAAGCUGGUUUUUGUGACAGCCCGGAUGACUCAUACAAGCUUUUCCAUAGAUGUCGUAUUUGGAAAAUGUGGUGGUGAAGCUGCUCCUUAUCCCUGCAAGGUUAAGAUGUUAAGGACAUAAAAUGUGUGGUUAACUAUGAUUUUCCAUCAAGCCUUGAGGAUUACGUUCAUAGGAUUGGCCGAACUGGUCGUGCAGGAGCUACAGGAACUGCUUUCACUUUUUUCACUCAUGCAAAUGGCAAGUUUGCCAGAGAUCUAAUCAAGAUAUUACGGGAUGCAGGCCAAAUCAUUCCUCCUGAUUUGUCUGCGAUGGCCAGGUCUACUGGUUCUACUAUGGGAGGAAACAACUUUCGCUCCAGAGGACGUGGGGGUUUUGGCAACAGAGGUAUCUCUGGAUCCAACACAAUACCUCUUGGUGCUAGGAAGCCAUGGUAGUUUCAUUCAUUGUGCAACAAGAAUGGGGGAUGCAUCAUCUUCAGAUGUACAGAUCUGUAUCAGUUAGAAAUAUAUGUUGCGUGUUGUGUUUUUCUUUCCUUCUGUUAGAUUCUUGUUUUCCUACAAAAUUUGGCUGAUAGUGGAAGACCCUUGCACUCUUUAUCCAAAAGCCAUAGAAAUACAAACAGAGAAUACUUCCCCAGUGUAGAAAUCUCUUUAGCAGCAACAUCUUAGCUGAAAUUUCUAGGACACUAUUUUUGUACUUGCAUGUAUGAUUUGGCAGCAACAUCAGUUAUAGAAUGGUGUAUUAUGAGUAAUGAAUUUUAUCCUGAUCAUCA